UACGGAAGGCAGCAGUGGGGAAUAUUGCACAAUGGGCGCAAGCCUGAUGCAGCCAUGCCGCGUGUAUGAAAAAGGCCUUCGGGUUGUAAGGUACUUUCAGUCGUGAGGAAGGUGUUAAGGUUAAUAACCUUAGCAAUUGACGUUAGCGACAGAAGAAGCACCGGCUAACUCCGUGCCAGCAGCCGCGGUAAUACGGAGGGUGCGAGCGUUAAUCGGAAUUACUGGGCGUAAAGGGCACGCAGGCGGUUAAUUAAGUUGGAUGUGAAAUCCCCGGGCUUAACCUGGGAAUGGCAUUCAAGACUGGUUAGCUAGAGUCUUGUAGAGGGGGUAGGAAUUCCAUGUGUAGCGGUGAAAUGCGUAGAGAUGUGGAGGAAUACCGGUGGCGAAGGCGGCCCCUGGACAAAGACUGACGCUCAUGUGCGAAAGCGUGGGGAGCAAACAGGGAUUAGAUACC
This 454-nucleotide ribosomal RNA is filed under the name uncultured bacterium. RNAcentral's name for it is "bacterial SSU rRNA". It matches the Rfam family "Bacterial small subunit ribosomal RNA", at positions 340 to 786 of the family's 1533-position model. The record is from RNAcentral.